Molecule: long non-coding RNA, 285 nt
Organism: Ochotona princeps (American pika)
Lineage: Eukaryota; Metazoa; Chordata; Mammalia; Lagomorpha; Ochotonidae
Exons: 3
Source: RefSeq, a predicted model, not a curated record
GCAGUCUCCUCUGCAGGAACUAAAGGAGCAGGCCAAGCUACAGUCCAAACAAUUCCAUGAAAUCAACUGCGCGGUAGAGUGUACUUUCUGAAAUCAUCUGAUGUUCUGAGACCGAUAUGAAAUAAAGCAGCAGGAUUUGUUUGGAGUUUUGAUGGCCUACAGCAUGUACAACCCUGAGGUGGGCUAUGGCCAGGGCCUAAGCCAUCUAGUGGCACUGUUGCUGAUGUGGCUCAGUGAGGAGGAUGCAUUUUGGGCUCUGGUCCAGCUCAUGGAGAAUGAGAAAUA